AUAACGACUCUCGGCAACGGAUAUCUCGGCUCUCGCAUCGAUGAAGAACGCAGCGAAAUGCGAUACCUGGUGUGAAUUGCAGAAUCCCGUGAAUCAUUGAGUCUUUGAACGCAAGUUGCGCCCGAGGCCAUUUGGUCUAGGGCACGCCUGCCUGGGUGUCACA
Molecule: ribosomal RNA, 163 nt
Filed under: Psittacanthus schiedeanus
Lineage: Eukaryota; Viridiplantae; Streptophyta; Magnoliopsida; Santalales; Loranthaceae
Description: 5.8S ribosomal RNA
Rfam family: 5.8S ribosomal RNA
About the family: 5.8S ribosomal RNA (5.8S rRNA) is a component of the large subunit of the eukaryotic ribosome. It is transcribed by RNA polymerase I as part of the 45S precursor that also contains 18S and 28S rRNA.
Source: RNAcentral